GUUGUCGAAUUGAGUUUUGCUCUCCAUACAUGCAUGAUUACCGCUACAUAGAGCUAGUAAUUUAGCAGAUAAUGUUUUGAGAAUUCUGCGGGUUUUUCACAGGGAACCUUCCAGGAAUACCAUUCCCAGAGUUGCAUUUAGACUCUCCACGAUGGAUUGCACAACAUUCACAAGAAAGUUGUCUAGGAGUACAAGCACCAGCUGCACAGACAUAUUCUGGAAUUGGACAUGCAGAAUUCGCCACGCAGUCUUGUCAGCUAG
Dermacentor andersoni is the source of this 261-nucleotide non-coding RNA. NCBI's taxonomy places the organism in Eukaryota, Metazoa, Arthropoda, Arachnida, Ixodida, Ixodidae. The record is from RefSeq and is a predicted model, not a curated record.